This 490-nucleotide ribosomal RNA is filed under the name uncultured bacterium. RNAcentral's name for it is "bacterial SSU rRNA". It matches the Rfam family "Bacterial small subunit ribosomal RNA", at positions 501 to 992 of the family's 1533-position model. The record is from RNAcentral.
CUACGUGCCAGCAGCCGCGGUAAUACGGAGGGUGCGAGCGUUAAUCGAAAUAACUGGGCGUAAAGGGCACGCAGGCGGUGACUUAAGUGAGGUGUGAAAGCCCCGGGCUUAACCUGGGAAUUGCAUUUCAUACUGGGUCGCUAGAGUACUUUAGGGAGGGGUAGAAUUCCACGUGUAGCGGUGAAAUGCGUAGAGAUGUGGAGGAAUACCGAAGGCGAAGGCAGCCCCUUGGGAAUGUACUGACGCUCAUGUGCGAAAGCGUGGGGAGCAAACAGGAUUAGAUACCCUGGUAGUCCACGCUGUAAACGAUGUCGAUUUGGGGGUUGAGCUUUGAGCUUGGCGCCCGUAGCUAACGUGAUAAAUCGACCGCCUGGGGAGUACGGCCGCAAGGUUAAAACUCAAAUGAAUUGACGGGGGCCCGCACAAGCGGUGGAGCAUGUGGUUUAAUUCGAUGCAACGCGAAGAACCUUACCUACUCUUGACAUCCAGA